CAGCAGCCGCGGUAAUACGAAGGGUGCAAGCGUUAAUCGGAAUUACUGGGCGUAAAGCGUGCGUAGGCGGUGAGUUAAGUCUGCUGUGAAAUCCCCGGGCUCAACCUGGGAAUGGCAAUGGAUACUGGCGAGCUAGAGUGUGUCAGAGGAUGGUGGAAUUCCCGGUGUAGCGGUGAAAUGCGUAGAUAUAUGGAGGAACACCAGUGGCGAGGGCGGCCAUCUGGGACAACACUGACGCUGAGGCACGAAAGCGUGGGGAGCAAACAGGAUUAGAUACCCCUGUAGUCCCUGUCACUUAUAC
This 301-nucleotide ribosomal RNA is filed under the name uncultured bacterium. RNAcentral describes it as "partial 16S ribosomal RNA". It matches the Rfam family "Bacterial small subunit ribosomal RNA", at positions 509 to 807 of the family's 1533-position model. The record is from RNAcentral.